This 72-nucleotide transfer RNA is filed under the name Camelus bactrianus (Bactrian camel). It matches the Rfam family "tRNA". Rfam says of the family: Transfer RNA (tRNA) molecules are approximately 80 nucleotides in length. Their secondary structure includes four short double-helical elements and three loops (D, anti-codon, and T loops). The record is from Rfam by way of RNAcentral. RNAcentral also lists the same sequence under 1 other name. Lineage: Eukaryota; Metazoa; Chordata; Mammalia; Artiodactyla; Camelidae.
GAGGGUAUAGCUCAAGUGAUAGAGCUCUUGCUUAGCAUGCACGAGGUCCUGGGUUCAACCCCCAGUACCUCG